RNAcentral lists this transfer-messenger RNA (352 nucleotides) under Acidobacteriaceae. RNAcentral's name for it is "Granulicella_C rosea Standard tmRNA". It matches the Rfam family "transfer-messenger RNA". From Rfam's summary of the family: Bacterial tmRNA, also known as 10Sa RNA or SsrA, is named for its dual tRNA and mRNA-like properties. Its role is to liberate the mRNA from a stalled ribosome. To accomplish this part of the tmRNA is used as a reading frame that ends in a translation stop signal. Lineage: Bacteria; Pseudomonadati; Acidobacteriota; Terriglobia; Terriglobales. RNAcentral also lists the same sequence under 1 other name. The record is from RNAcentral.
GGGGGCGUCACGGCUUCGACGGGAUUGCUUGUGGCAGAGAGGCAUGCCGGGGUGUGGACACCCGUAAUCGCUCACAAAACCAUAAGUGCCGAACCUCAGUUCGCUCUUGCUGCUUAAUUGUAAGUAGCCGAUCGCUCCAGCUUAGCCUACGGGCCGGUACCGAUCGUCGCACAGUAGGCUGGUCAACGCUGUUCCGUCUGUACGGCAAUGACGAGAUCAAUCAGGCUGGUCGUCAUCGUUUCUUCGCCCGUUCCUAGCGGUGAUGACGAGACAAAGAUGAACGUGGAAAAGCAUGAAAGCUCUCUGUUGGAAGUUUUUUCGGACGUGGGUUCGACUCCCACCGCCUCCACCA